GGCCUGGUGGUCUAGUAGUAUGAUUCCUUCUUAGGGUGCUUCGUCACGUGAAUGGAGGAGGCCCCGGGUUCAAUUCCCGGCCAGGCCC
Non-coding RNA from Earliella scabrosa, 88 nucleotides. Lineage: Eukaryota; Fungi; Basidiomycota; Agaricomycetes; Polyporales; Polyporaceae. The record is from the annotation of a GenBank genome assembly.